AUUGAACGCUGGCGGCAGGCCUAACACAUGCAAGUCGAACGAGUGGCGGACGGGUGAGUAAUGUCUGGGAAACUGCCCGAUGUAGGGGGAUAACUACUGGAAACGGUAGCUAAUACCGCAUACCAUCGGAUGUGCCCAGAUGGGAUUAGCUAGUAGGUGGGGUAACGGCUCACCUAGGCGACGAUCCCUCGCUGGUCUGAGAGGAUGACCAGCCACACUGGGACUGAGACACGGUCCAGACUCCUACGGGAGGCAGCAGUGGGGAAUAUUGCGCAAUGGGCGCAAGCCUGAUGCAGCCAUGCAGCGUGUAUGAAGAAGGCCUUCGGGUUGUAAAGUACUUUCAGCGAGGAGGCGUUACUCGCAGAAGAAGCACCGGCUAACUCCGUGCCAGCAGCCGCGGUAAUUC
RNAcentral lists this ribosomal RNA (406 nucleotides) under uncultured bacterium. RNAcentral describes it as "partial 16S ribosomal RNA". It matches the Rfam family "Bacterial small subunit ribosomal RNA", at positions 30 to 526 of the family's 1533-position model. The record is from RNAcentral.